Molecule: ribosomal RNA, 416 nt
Filed under: Tremella tuckerae
Lineage: Eukaryota; Fungi; Basidiomycota; Tremellomycetes; Tremellales; Tremellaceae
Description: eukaryotic LSU rRNA
Rfam family: Eukaryotic large subunit ribosomal RNA
Source: RNAcentral
GACCUCAAAUCAGGUAGGACUACCCGCUGAACUUAAGCAUAUCAAUAAGCGGAGGAAAAGAAACUAACAAGGAUUCCCCUAGUAACGGCGAGCGAACCGGGAAGAGCUCAAAUUUGUAAUCUGGCGUCCUCCGGGUGUCCGAGUUGUAAUCUACAGAAACGUUUUCCGUGCCGGACCGUGUCCAAGUCCCUUGGAAUAGGGUAUCAAAGAGGGUGACAAUCCCGUGCUUGACAUGACGACCGGUGCCAUGUGAUACGUUCUCUACGAGUCGAGUUGUUUGGGAAUGCAGCUCAAAACGGGUGGUAAAUUCCAUCUAAGGCUAAAUAUUGGCGAGAGACCGAUAGCGAACAAGUACCGUGAGGGAAAGAUGAAAAGCACUUUGGAAAGAGAGUUAAACAGUAUGUGAAAUUGUUGAA